This 1164-nucleotide long non-coding RNA is filed under the name Capra hircus (goat). Its description in RNAcentral is "lncRNA (ENSCHIG00010007354.1)". Lineage: Eukaryota; Metazoa; Chordata; Mammalia; Artiodactyla; Bovidae. The record is from RNAcentral.
GGGCUCUGUGAUCUUCUUGAUGUCUGAGUGACAAGAGAACCAUUUUGUCAACAAAUAAAUAUUUAUUCUCCUAGCUUUUGAAAUAAAGAGCUAAAUUAUCUGCCAUUUCUAAAGCCUGAUUCCCUCAAGUGGCCAGAAUAGAAAAUGCACGUGUUUCCCUUAAGUUUCACAUAUAUGAAACAAACCUGGAUGAUGGCAGAUAAAAGGAAUCAUUUUCAACAACGUUAAAAAUAAAAGAUAGUAGCUUUAAAUCAUGUCCAAGAUAUCAACAUAGACUUAUUUUUUUACCAUACAAUAAGGCUAAAAAAUGCUAGUCUACAAUUUAUGAACCAGUGGGUCUGGAAAAAAUGUCUGGAGAGCAUUAUAUUUUUUUAAAUGCAAACUUGCAAAGAUCUGCAGAAAUAUUUAUCUUAAACUAAAGCUGAACAAAUAACUCAGCUUAAGAUUAAUACAAAUCAAAAGAAAACAGAAAAGUAAACUUUGUUACAUAGGUAUUAUUAACAAAGUCUUCCUCCAACACCCCCUACAAAUAGCUGCCAAAUCUGAGAAGUGGUUGAGUCUGGUGUGUAUUUUUUAAGGGAAAAUAUCCUCAUAAAAUGCAGAAGAAGAUAGGCAAGGGGGACAGUAACCAGAAAGGAUAUUCAGAUGGAAGCCUUUAAUUUCAGGAAGCAUUCAUUUCUUCAUAUGACCUCAUUUGGUAGCUUUUGGAAUUUUUCAUCACAUAAGUGAAAGAAGGCAAACUAAUACACACAGACUUCAACUCCUGAACACAGAGAUAUUUCUGCAACAUUUCUGGUUUCAUCCCAAGCAUGGCUUGGAUUUGUGAAUUUUGAAGCUCUCCCUGUUUCACUGUGAACAUUUGGCUUUGAAAUUUUGCUAGGCUCCAAACUUAUCAGUGUUGAGUUUAUUUUAUGUUAAUCACCUUAAAAAUUCAAUCCUUAAAAUGUCAAUAGAAACAACAAAAAUAUAAAUAAACCAUUGCAAUGAGCCAAAAAGACCCAAUUUAAGAAGGUAAACCUAAAAAAAUUUUGCCAGAGUGUAAAUGGAAAGGAUUAAACACUUUACAAACACAAUCUUUUCUUUUUUCUAAAACUAUAAACACCACAACUUCUUUUUCCAAACACGAUCAAACACACAUACACACACACACACAGAAACAGACUG